AUUGAACGCUGGCGGCAGGCCUAACACAUGCAAGUCGAGCGGAGCGGCGGACGGGUGAGUAAUGCCUAGGAAUCUGCCUGGGAGUGGGGGAUAAGGUCCGGAAACGGGAGCUAAUACCGCAUACUAUCAGAUGAGCCUAGGUCGGAUUAGCUAGUUGGUGGGGUAAAGGCCUACCAAGGCGACGAUCCGUAGCUGGUCUGAGAGGAUGAUCAGUCACACUGGAACUGAGACACGGUCCAGACUCCUACGGGAGGCAGCAGUGGGGAAUAUUGCACAAUGGGCGAAAGCCUGAUCCAGCCAUGCCGCGUGUGUGAAGAAGGUCUUCGGAUUGUAAAGCACUUUAAGUUGGGAGGCGUUACCAGCAGAAUAAGCACCGGCUAACUUCGUGCCAGCAGCCGCGGUAAUUC
RNAcentral lists this ribosomal RNA (407 nucleotides) under uncultured bacterium. RNAcentral's name for it is "partial 16S ribosomal RNA". It matches the Rfam family "Bacterial small subunit ribosomal RNA", at positions 30 to 526 of the family's 1533-position model. The record is from RNAcentral.